This 459-nucleotide ribosomal RNA is filed under the name uncultured bacterium. RNAcentral's name for it is "partial 16S ribosomal RNA". It matches the Rfam family "Bacterial small subunit ribosomal RNA", at positions 338 to 795 of the family's 1533-position model. The record is from RNAcentral.
CCUACGGGUGGCAGCAGUGAGGAAUAUUGGUCAAUGGGCGGAAGCCUGAACCAGCCAAGUCGCGUGAGGGAUUAAGGCCCUGCGGGUCGUAAACCUCUUUUGCCGGGGAGCAGUGGUCCGGACGAGUCCGGGCCGGGAGAGUACCCGGAGAAAAAGCAUCGGCUAAUCCGUGCCAGCAGCCGCGGUAAUACGGAGGAUGCGAGCGGUUUCCGGAUUUAUUGGGUUUAAAGGGUGCGUAGGCGGGCAUUUAAGCCGGCGGUCAAAUGUCGGGGCUCAACCCCGGCCUGACGUCGGAACUGGGUGCCUUGAGUGGGCGAGAAGUAUGCGGAAUGCGUGGUGUAGCGGUGAAAUGCAUAGAUAUCACGCAGAACCCCGAUUGCGAAGGCAGCAUACCGGCGCCCGACUGACGCUGAGGCACGAAAGUGCGGGUAUCGAACAGGAUUAGAUACCCUUGUAGUC